GCCAGGUGUGGUGGUGCACGCCUGUAAUCCCAGUUACUCAGGAGGCUGAGGCAGGAGAAUCACUUGAACUCAGGAGGUGGAGGUUGCAGUGAGCCAAGAUCAUGCCACUGCACUCCAGCCUGGGUGACAGAGUGAGACUUUGUCUCAA
Unclassified non-coding RNA from Macaca mulatta (Rhesus monkey), 148 nucleotides. It matches the Rfam family "Metazoan signal recognition particle RNA". From Rfam's summary of the family: The signal recognition particle (SRP) is a universally conserved ribonucleoprotein. It is involved in the co-translational targeting of proteins to membranes. The eukaryotic SRP consists of a 300-nucleotide 7S RNA and six proteins: SRPs 72, 68, 54, 19, 14, and 9. The record is from Ensembl. Lineage: Eukaryota; Metazoa; Chordata; Mammalia; Primates; Cercopithecidae.